Molecule: ribosomal RNA, 497 nt
Filed under: uncultured bacterium
Lineage: Bacteria
Description: partial 16S ribosomal RNA
Rfam family: Bacterial small subunit ribosomal RNA
Source: RNAcentral
GAUGAACGCUGGCGGCGUGCUUAAUACAUGCAAGUCGAGCGAAAAGACGAGGAGCUUGCUGCUCUGACGUUAGCGGAGGACGGGUGAGUAACACGUGGAUAACCCCCCUAUCAGGCUGGGAUCACUUCGGGAAACGGGAGAUAAUAGCGGAGAAUAUAUUGAACCGCGUGGUGCAAUAGAGAAAGACGGUUUUGCGGUCUCUAAUAGAUGGUUCCGAGCCGCAUUAGCUAGUUGGUAAGGUAAAGGCUUACCAAGGCAACGAUGCGUAGCCGACCUGAGAGAGUGAUCGGCCACACUGGAACGGAGACACGGACCAGACUCCUACGGGAGGCAGCAGUAGGGAAUGUGCCGCAGUGGGCGAAAGCCUGACGGAGCAACGCCGCGUGAGAUAUGAAGGUCUUCGGAGCGUAAAACUCUGUUAUUAGGGAAGAACAAAUGUGUAAUGAACUAUGGACGUCUUGACGGUACCUGAUCAAAAAGCCACGGCUAACUACGUG